CUCGUGCCGGCAGACGGUUUGGCUCGCGCCGUCGGCGGUUAGCGCCUGAGCAAAGGAGUCUUUGUGUGAUCUGUCAGUGAAGAUUCCACAAUGCUGCGGUGGAUGUUUGUAGUUCCACUAAGAAUUCGAGAAUCCGUCUUAAUCGCAGCAGAACUGGACACAGCUUCCACGACUGAAUAAUCAACAGAACUACAGCUUCAACAAGGAAUCAUUUAAAUUGUGAAGGAAAACCAGCAAAAAGAAUAUACAUCACUGCAAAGCGCUUCGGGAUGUCCUGACUCGGAACUGUUCCAAAGGAGGCUGCGGAGAACCAGAGGCACGGUGAGUCCCCUGCACACCCUGGCCUGCACCGGCUGCAAUUCCAACUCCCUGGGGCUGGGCGGUCGUGUUAAGGCACUCACUCCAAAAGAACCUUAUGUCUGUCCUGAGACUGCUGACAUGUUUCAAUGCGUUUCAGCCAGUAAUUUGGGAAAAAUUACCGUGCUUAGGAUAAUACUGACAGGAUGGAGAACAAUGCUUCAAACAAGAAAAAAAUAAAGUACAUUAUAUACAUGAUUCCUUUUUUUCUUUUAACUUAGAAGCACCCCUAAUACAUCUUAAUAACCGUAUUAAAGACUACUUAAAUACUGAAAGAUUUUAAAUAAUGUAGAUUUUUUCAGUAAACUGGGAGUAGCUGUGUAACUGCCAGCAUAUUGGUCCCAUUUUAAACAAUAUAAUUUUUAUUUAAAUCUUGUAUAUAUAAUAACAUGAUCGAAAACACAUAUGCCACUCCACAUAAAUAAGUAUAGUUCUUCUGACCUGUUUUAAAAACUACAUCUGUUCAAAUAAUCAGGUUAUAAGACGGUAUUUUUUCCUUUGUGAAGUUUCCUUUAAAAUCUUUCACUCCCAAUUUCUCCUCUUAAAUAGUUCUGUAUUUCCAGAGUACAUAAUAGGGCAUUAGUAAAAAGAGUUAAUCAAAAACCUGAAAGCUACAGUAAGUAAAAUGAAGUAAUGUUAGGAAGGAUUAUGGAAUGUAUACUCUGCAGCAUCGGGAGAUCACUUCUUACGGGGCCGAAGUGGAAAAUUACUCUAGAAGAAAUUCUUGAUGUUCAUGUUUGAAUAAACCAUGGAUUGUGCUACUCGUCGUUCAAAAGUGCAGGUCAGUUCAUGAAAAGUGGUGUUUCUGAGGCUGUUGCUCCAGGACACUGACCAAAAUUACGCUGGCAAUUAAACGGAUGCCAGAUGCAGUACGAGGAGCGUGAGAGGCGGCAUAACCAAUCCGUAUCUUGAAGUCCACUACAUUGAGGUGGCAGCACAAACAAGUCACCAGUAAACCUGCGCUGUCUUGAAAGAAUCGUCA
This is a long non-coding RNA of Strigops habroptila (Kakapo), 1339 nucleotides long. NCBI's taxonomy places the organism in Eukaryota, Metazoa, Chordata, Aves, Psittaciformes, Psittacidae. The record is from Ensembl.